GGAAUGGAGUGGGAAUCCUUAUCUCUAUACUCACCAUGCUGCGUGUCAUAAAUCAUGCCUUCUGAACUGUGAAACUGUUACUGAAAAGAGCGUCCUGUCUCCUGGUGAUGCAGCUGUUUUUGCAACCUGUGCCUCUGCUCUGAGACAGCAAUCUGCAGCGAGGAAGAGCUGAGCAGGGACUGCCACUUCUGAUGAGUGAAGAACUGCAAAAACAGCUGUGUUCUUCUGUAGGAGCCUGGUUUGGAUGAGGCUUUCUUAAAGUAUGAUUUCAUUGUGAAUAACAACUAGUAAUAAAUUCUUGGAUUGUGCCACAAAUGCAUAUUCUAUAAAAUGG
Molecule: long non-coding RNA, 334 nt
Filed under: Meleagris gallopavo (turkey)
Lineage: Eukaryota; Metazoa; Chordata; Aves; Galliformes; Phasianidae
Description: lncRNA (ENSMGAG00000020380.1)
Source: RNAcentral